RNAcentral lists this ribosomal RNA (460 nucleotides) under uncultured bacterium. Its description in RNAcentral is "partial 16S ribosomal RNA". It matches the Rfam family "Bacterial small subunit ribosomal RNA", at positions 338 to 795 of the family's 1533-position model. The record is from RNAcentral.
CCUACGGGGGGCAGCAGUGAGGAAUAUUGGUCAAUGGGCGAGAGUCUGAACCAGCCAAGUAGCGUGAAGGAUGACUGCCCUAUGGGUUGUAAACUUCUUUUAUAUGGGAAUAAAACGUUCCACGUGUGGGAUUUUGUAUGUACCAUAUGAAUAAGGAUCGGCUAACUCCGUGCCAGCAGCCGCGGUAAUACGGAGGAUCCGAGCGUUAUCCGGAUUUAUUGGGUUUAAAGGGAGCGUAGGUGGAUUGUUAAGUCAGUUGUGAAAGUUUGCGGCUCAACCGUAAAAUUGCAGUUGAAACUGGCAGUCUUGAGUACAGUAGAGGUGGGCGGAAUUCGUGGUGUAGCGGUGAAAUGCUUAGAUAUCACGAAGAACUCCGAUUGCGAAGGCAGUUCACUGGACUGCAACUGACACUGAGGCUCGAAAGUGUGGGUAUCAAACAGGAUUAGAUACCCUAGUAGUC